This 250-nucleotide ribosomal RNA is filed under the name uncultured bacterium. RNAcentral describes it as "partial 16S ribosomal RNA". It matches the Rfam family "Bacterial small subunit ribosomal RNA", at positions 524 to 773 of the family's 1533-position model. The record is from RNAcentral.
GACGUAGGGGGCGAGCGUUGUCCGGAAUUACUGGGCGUAAAGAGCACGUAGGCGGAUAUUUAAGUCAGGUGUGAAAGACCGGGGCUCAACCUCGGGUGUGCAUUUGAAACUGGGUAUCUUGAGGGCAGGAGAGGAAAGCAGAAUUCCUGGUGUAGCGGUGAAAUGCGUAGAAAUCAGGAGGAAUACCAGUGGCGAAGGCGGCUUUCUGGACUGACCCUGACGCUGAGGUGCGAAAGCGUGGGUAGCAAAC